Molecule: ribosomal RNA, 447 nt
Filed under: uncultured bacterium
Lineage: Bacteria
Description: partial 16S ribosomal RNA
Rfam family: Bacterial small subunit ribosomal RNA
Source: RNAcentral
AACGAACGCUGGCGGCAGGCUUAACACAUGCAAGUCGAGCGCGUAGCAAUACGAGCGGCAGACGGGUGAGUAACGCGUGGGAAUCUACCCAUCCCUACGGAACAACUCCGGGAAACUGGAGCUAAUACCGUAUACGCCCUAACGGGGAAAGAUUUAUGGGGGAUGGAUGAGCCCGCGUUGGAUUAGCUAGUUGGUGGGGUAAAGGCCUACCAAGGCGACGAUCCAUAGCUGGUCUGAGAGGAUGAUCAGCAACAUUGGGACUGAGACACGGCCAAAACUCCUACGGGAGGCAGCAGUGGGGAAUUUUGGCAAAGGGGCGAAAGCCUGAUCCAGCCAUGCCGCGGGAAUGAUGAAGGCCUUAGGGUUGUAAAGUUCUUUCACCGGAGAAGAUAAUGACGGUAUCCGGAGAAGAAGCCCCGGCUAACUUCGUGCCAGCCGCCGCAGUAA